This is a long non-coding RNA of Sciurus carolinensis (gray squirrel), 662 nucleotides long. RefSeq lists it as uncharacterized. Lineage: Eukaryota; Metazoa; Chordata; Mammalia; Rodentia; Sciuridae. The record is from RefSeq and is a predicted model, not a curated record. The transcript is spliced from 4 exons.
CAGGACAGUCCAGGAGUUCAGCCCAAAGGUGCUGCCACCAACCCCACUCAGUCCUGGGUGCAAGGCUGCCAACCACAACAGAAUCAAAAACAGCAUGCCCUCGCCAUCUUGGCCUCUCUUGGGGCCGCAGCCAAUAGGACCCCAGGGAUCUGCCGGAUCGGGGGACUUCCAGAAGCCAAAGGCACUUCAACCUCAGAGACGGUGUCUCACUCGUGACAUUAGCAGUGUGUGGGAGGAGAGCAUCGUGCCUACGGUGGCCGUUCUUGCAGAUGCCGGGAGCAGCAGCUAAACUCACAUCCUUCUAGAGAACUUGGCAAGGUUGCAGGAGCUGACAGCUUGGCUCACCAUCCAUUCCUGCCCUGAUGUCCUUCCCUCUGCAAGUCCCCUGGACUAAAGCCCCUGCGACAGUCAUUAGUAAACGCAGGCUUCCUCCUUUACGUAGAACCUCAGAUUCCAGGACGUGACAGGUCCUGGUGGAACACACGGUCAUGCCAGUCCAGCAGCUGCCACGAGCUGACAGCUGUCCUCAGCCACACUCUUCUGCAUGAUGUUCUGCCUCCCCUCAGGCCCAAAGCAACGGAGUGGGCAGACCAUGGCUGCAACCUCUGGAGCCAUGAGCCUGAAUAAACCCUUCCUUCUCUAAGUCACUCGUGUCAGGCGUU